UACAGAGGGGGCAAGCGUUGUUCGGAAUUACUGGGCGUAAAGCGCGCGCAGGCGGCCUUUUAAGUCUGACGGUGAAAUGCCGGGGCUCAACCCCGUGCCCGCCGGAGAUACUGGGAGGCUGGAGACGAGUAGAGGCAAGCGGAAUUCCGGGUGUAGCGGUGGAAUGCGUAGAGAUCCGGAAGAACACCGGAGGCGAAGGCGGCUUGCUGGGCUCGGUCUGACGCUGAGGCGCGAAAGCGUGGGGAGCGAACAGG
RNAcentral lists this ribosomal RNA (254 nucleotides) under uncultured bacterium. Its description in RNAcentral is "partial 16S ribosomal RNA". It matches the Rfam family "Bacterial small subunit ribosomal RNA", at positions 524 to 776 of the family's 1533-position model. The record is from RNAcentral.